UAGGGAAUCUUCCACAAUGAGCGCAAGCCUGAUGGAGCAACACCGCGUGAGUGAAGAAGGGUUUCGGCUCGUAAAGCUCUGUUGUUAAAGAAGAACACGUAUGAGAGUAACUGUUCAUACGUUGACGGUAUUUAACCAGAAAGUCACGGCUAACUACGUGCCCG
RNAcentral lists this ribosomal RNA (164 nucleotides) under uncultured bacterium. RNAcentral's name for it is "partial 16S rRNA". It matches the Rfam family "Bacterial small subunit ribosomal RNA", at positions 355 to 511 of the family's 1533-position model. The record is from RNAcentral.